RNAcentral lists this transfer RNA (25 nucleotides) under Platerodrilus sp. UPOL VP2301. Its description in RNAcentral is "partial tRNA-Ser". The record is from RNAcentral. Lineage: Eukaryota; Metazoa; Arthropoda; Insecta; Coleoptera; Lycidae.
GUAAAAAGGUUUCUAACUUUUUUAA